This 448-nucleotide ribosomal RNA is filed under the name Hypsosinga pygmaea. RNAcentral describes it as "partial 16S ribosomal RNA". It matches the Rfam family "Bacterial large subunit ribosomal RNA", at positions 1829 to 2597 of the family's 2925-position model. The record is from RNAcentral. Lineage: Eukaryota; Metazoa; Arthropoda; Arachnida; Araneae; Araneidae.
UUUUUACUGAAAAAUUAUAAUAAGUAACACCUGCUCAAUGAAUAUUUAAAUAGCCGCGGAAAUUUAACCGUGCUAAGGUAGCAUAAUCAUUAGUCUCUUAAUUAGAGACUAGUAUGAAUGGUGAAACAAUUUAAUUACUUUAUUAAAUAAUAUAUUUUAACUUAAAUUAAGAAUAAAAAUGUUCUUAUUACAAAAAUAGACGAUAAGACCCUAUUGAACUUUACUUUUGUUUAACUGGGGCAGUUACAAAAUAAUUAUCUUUUAAUUUAUUAAUUUAAUAAAUGAUCCAAUAAAAUUGAUUAUUUGAUCAAGUUACCAUAGGGAUAACAGCAUAAUAUAUUUUUAAAGCUCUUAUUUUAAAAAAUGAUUGUGACCUCGAUGUUGAAUUAAUGUUUCUUAAUGAAUGCAGUAAUUUUUUUAAGUUGGUCUGUUCGACCAUUAAAACAUU